RNAcentral lists this ribosomal RNA (404 nucleotides) under uncultured bacterium. RNAcentral's name for it is "bacterial SSU rRNA". It matches the Rfam family "Bacterial small subunit ribosomal RNA", at positions 29 to 478 of the family's 1533-position model. The record is from RNAcentral.
AGCGAACGCUGGCGGCAGGCUUAACACAUGCAAGUCGAACGGAUCCUUCGGGAUUAGUGGCGGACGGGUGAGUAACACGUGGGAACGUGCCUUUUGGUUCGGAACAACACAGGGAAACUUGUGCUAAUACCGGAUGUGCCCUUCGGGGAAGAUUUAUCGCCAUUAGAGCGGCCCGCGUCUGAUUAGCUUGUUGGUGAGGUAAAGGCUCACCAAGGCUACGAUCAGUAGCUGGUCNGAGAGGAUGAUCAGCCACACUGGGACUGAGACACGGCCCAGACUCCUACGGGAGGCAGCAGGUGGGGAAUUUUCCGCAAUGGGCGAAAGCCUGACGGAGCAAUGCCGCGUGGAGGUAAAGGCCCACGGGUCAUAAACUUCUUUUCCAGGAGAAGAAGCAAUGACGGUAU